RNAcentral lists this long non-coding RNA (1039 nucleotides) under Sus scrofa (pig). RNAcentral describes it as "lncRNA (ENSSSCG00055018269.1)". Lineage: Eukaryota; Metazoa; Chordata; Mammalia; Artiodactyla; Suidae. The record is from RNAcentral.
GAAGCCUCCUGGAUGGACAGUUAAAGUCACAGUGCCAUGUCCCCGUUCCCCCACCCCCCUGGUCUCCCCUCUCAGUGAAUCCAGGUACUGAGCUUCCCCCUCACUGCCACCUGCUGGGUGCCAAGAACAGCCAGUGAGAGACCCAGGAUGCCUGUGAGCUCAGCUUCCUCCCACCUUUUCUCUUUUUGGCCACACCCAAGGCAAAUGGAAGUUCCCAGGCCAAGGAUGGAACCCACACCACAGCAGCGACAAUGCCAGAUCCUUAACCCCUAGGCCACCAGGGAACUCCUAGCCCCCUCCCGUCUUAAUAUCUGGCUCCUUCAAUAGCCAGCCUCUGAAGGAAUCAAAACAGCAUCGUUUCAUCUCACAAGGGGCUGGAUCGUCCCAAGGUGGCAGUCAUGCCUUCCAGGUGCCUGGAAGUAGCAAUUGUCCCCAUUUUACAGAAGGGGGAGCAGGAGCUUGAAUGGCUCUGCUCUGUCACCAGGCAGAGGGCGGACACACCCCUCCUCUGAGACUCUCUCAGCCCGUCCAGGGCAGGACUUGGAAAUGCAGUCCAGAGCCAGGGAUCUGUCCCUCUGAGGAUGGACUGGCACUGGGGCCUGGGCUCCUUGGCCUUCCAGAGAUCUGAGCUCUGCCCCUUCCAGGUGGGAGGGAGGGCUGCCCUGGUCCCUGUGCCCAGCUUUGUGCCCACCCCUCCCGCCAGCUCACCCCGCCCCUUCCAGCAGAUCUCUCACCCAGCAGCAAGUCCCCAAAUCUGCAGAGAACUGGAAGGGAGAAGCUAGGGGUGCAGCAGACACUGCUCUGGCCAGUAGCCCCAGGAGACAGAAGGUGGCCAACAGCCCCUCUGGGGACACUCUUUUGGGUGGUCCAUGUGGAGAGGAGGGGGCCCGCCGGCUCACCCCCUCUCAGUGUCCAUCCCUGCUUCCCCCCACCUGCCCUCAGCCUUCCCCACUGUGCUCCUUUUGUGCCUUAUUUGAGUAAAUAAUCCUGGCAGCUCACAGAUUAUUUGUAUUUCUAUUUUUAUUUUUUAGUCUUUUUU